AUUGAACGCUGGCGGAAUGCUUUACACAUGCAAGUCGAACGGCAGCACGGGGGCAACCCUGGUGGCGAGUGGCGAACGGGUGAGUAAUACAUCGGAACGUGCCCAGUCGUGGGGGAUAACGUAGCGAAAGUUACGCUAAUACCGCAUACGAUCUACAGAUGAAAGCGGGGGAUCGCAAGACCUCGCGCGAUUGGAGCGGCCGAUGUCAGAUUAGGUUGUUGGUGGGGUAAAGGCCUACCAAGCCGACGAUCUGUAGCUGGUCUGAGAGGACGACCAGCCACACUGGGACUGAGACACGGCCCAGACUCCUACGGGAGGCAGCAGUGGGGAAUUUUGGACAAUGGGCGCAAGCCUGAUCCAGCCAUUCCGCGUGCAGGACGAAGGCCUUCGGGUUGUAAACUGCUUUUGUACGGAACGAAAAAGCCUCGGUUAAUACCCGGGGUCCAUGACGGUACCGUAAGAAUAAGCACCGGCUAACUACGUG
Molecule: ribosomal RNA, 484 nt
Filed under: uncultured bacterium
Lineage: Bacteria
Description: bacterial SSU rRNA
Rfam family: Bacterial small subunit ribosomal RNA
Source: RNAcentral